Molecule: long non-coding RNA, 503 nt
Organism: Grammomys surdaster
Lineage: Eukaryota; Metazoa; Chordata; Mammalia; Rodentia; Muridae
Exons: 4
Source: RefSeq, a predicted model, not a curated record
ACCAAGUUAGACCUGAGAGAACUAAGUUCUUUGGACUGUCGUUGGUUUCGUAUCGAGAGUAACAAACGCGUUUGUUUAGCUCUGAAAAGAGUUGACACAAUAGCGCCACAUUCAAGACAGGGGGAUCUUAAAUCCGCAGAGACGUGUUUCCCUUCUCUUUGAGAUUGUGAAUGCUGGGGCUGUUGAAGUGCAAGGAGGGAGGUGUGGUCCUCUAUGAAGAAAAAAUUCUGGAAGACCUGAACAUUGAAAAUUGCCUGGAGAAAUCUAAGACAGGAGAUGGAAGCAGAACCCCCAGGAGAUCCCAGGCCAGCUAUCAUAUGCAGCAGAAACAAGAAAGACCCUGCCUUAGCAAGACGGAAGGUGAAGGUGGGUGGACGCUCGAAGCUGCCUUCUGACCUCUGCACGUUCUGCAGCUCACACACGCGUCAGACGUUUAAACAGUAGAUAACUCUUAAUUAGUAGUAUGGAUUGAGACCAAAUAACCAAACCAAACCAAACACCAA